UACGUAGGGGGCUAGCGUUGUCCGGAAUCAUUGGGCGUAAAGAGCGUGUAGGCGGUCCGGUAAGUCCGCUGUGAAAGUCGGGGGCUCAACCCUCGAAUGCCGGUGGAUACUGUCGGGCUAGAGUGCGGAAGAGGCGAGUGGAAUUCCUGGUGUAGCGGUGAAAUGCGCAGAUAUCAGGAGGAACACCUAUUGCGAAGGCAGCUCGCUGGGACGUUACUGACACUGAGGCGCGAAAGCGUGGGGAGCGAACAGG
Molecule: ribosomal RNA, 253 nt
Filed under: uncultured bacterium
Lineage: Bacteria
Description: partial 16S ribosomal RNA
Rfam family: Bacterial small subunit ribosomal RNA
Source: RNAcentral